AGUAAAGUCAGCUAAUCAAGCUAUCGGGCCCAUACCCCGAAAAUGUUGGUUUAACUCCUUCCUAUACUA
This 69-nucleotide transfer RNA is filed under the name Phymaturus mallimaccii. Its description in RNAcentral is "tRNA-Met". It matches the Rfam family "tRNA". Rfam says of the family: Transfer RNA (tRNA) molecules are approximately 80 nucleotides in length. Their secondary structure includes four short double-helical elements and three loops (D, anti-codon, and T loops). The record is from RNAcentral. Lineage: Eukaryota; Metazoa; Chordata; Lepidosauria; Squamata.